CUCUCUACACACGCAUAUAUAUAUACACUUUUUCUGCUUACUUUCCCUGGCGGAGAACCGGUUCCGUGUUCUAGAGGUGAGCAAAGACAGUUGUUCGGCGAUGGACCUAAAUUCUCCUCUGGUGAAAAUAGUGGCUCUCGUUGGAAAUGGUAGCGUCAGUCCUUUGAAAUUCGCAACAUGGCUCGAAGUCAUGGUCCGCACAGUAAUUGUCGAGAAGUGUUUCAAGAUCAAUGAUCUUCUUUAUGUGUUGGCCACAAGGCCUAUUAUUCGUGGACGGAAUGCCAUUGUUGUAAAAGGGUUAAACCCUUUCUUUUAAUUUAAAAGAUGUAAGCUUACGGGCAAUUUAUUUAUUCUUAACUCAAGUUGCAUUUACUUCAUAUUCAAGUGAGAGAACCUUUAAUAAUAGUACUUGUUAUUAUAUUGAA
This is a long non-coding RNA of Camellia sinensis, 425 nucleotides long. RefSeq lists it as uncharacterized. The record is from RefSeq and is a predicted model, not a curated record. Lineage: Eukaryota; Viridiplantae; Streptophyta; Magnoliopsida; Ericales; Theaceae.